CCUACGGGUGGCAGCAGUGAGGAAUAUUGGUCAAUGGACGAGAGUCUGAACCAGCCAAGUAGCGUGAAGGAUGACUGCCCUAUGGGUUGUAAACUUCUUUUAUAUGGGAAUAAAAUGUUCCACGUGUGGGAUUUUGUAUGUACCAUAUGAAUAAGGAUAGGCUAACUCCGUGCCAGCAGCCGCGGUAAUACGGAGGAUCCGAGCGUUAUCCGGAUUUAUUGGGUUUAAAGGGAGCGUAGGUGGAUUGUUAAGUCAGUUGUGAAAGUUUGCGGCUCAACCGUAAAAUUGCAGUUGAAACUGGCAGUCUUGAGUACAGUAGAGGUGGGCGGAAUUCGUGGUGUAGCGGUGAAAUGCUUAGAUAUCACGAAGAACUCCGAUUGCGAAGGCAGUUCACUGGACUGCAACUGACGCUGAGGCUCGAAAGUGUGGGUAUCAAACAGGAUUAGAUACCCCUGUAGUC
Molecule: ribosomal RNA, 460 nt
Filed under: uncultured bacterium
Lineage: Bacteria
Description: partial 16S ribosomal RNA
Rfam family: Bacterial small subunit ribosomal RNA
Source: RNAcentral